Molecule: ribosomal RNA, 253 nt
Filed under: uncultured bacterium
Lineage: Bacteria
Description: partial 16S ribosomal RNA
Rfam family: Bacterial small subunit ribosomal RNA
Source: RNAcentral
UACGUAGGGUGCGAGCGUUGUCCGGAAUUAUUGGGCGUAAAGAGCUUGUAGGCGGUCUGUCGCGUCUGCUGUGAAAAUCCGGGGCUCAACCCCGGACUUGCAGUGGGUACGGGCAGACUAGAGUGUGGUAGGGGAGACUGGAAUUCCUGGUGUAGCGAUGAAAUGCGCAGAUAUCAGGAGGAACACCGAUGGCGAAGGCAGGUCUCUGGGCCACUACUGACGCUGAGAAGCGAAAGCAUGGGGAGCGAACAGG